UGCCAGCAGCCGCGGUAAUACGUAGGGUGCGAGCGUUAAUCGGAAUUACUGGGCGUAAAGGGUGCGCAGGCGGCCUUGUAAGUCAGAUGUGAAAGCCCCGGGCUUAACCUGGGAAUUGCGUUUGAAACUACAAAGCUAGAGUGCAGCAGAGGGGAGUGGAAUUCCAUGUGUAGCAGUGAAAUGCGUAGAGAUGUGGAAGAACACCGAUGGCGAAGGCAGCUCCCUGGGUUGACACUGACGCUCAUGCACGAAAGCGUGGGGAGCAAACAGGAUUAGAUACCCUGGUAGUCCACGCCCUAAACUAUGUCAACUAGCUGUCGGAUCUAAUUAAGGAUUUGGUAACGUAGCUAACGCGUGAAGUUGACCGCCUGGGGAGUACGAUCGCAAGAUUAAAACUCAAAGGAAUUGAC
This 410-nucleotide ribosomal RNA is filed under the name uncultured bacterium. Its description in RNAcentral is "bacterial SSU rRNA". It matches the Rfam family "Bacterial small subunit ribosomal RNA", at positions 506 to 914 of the family's 1533-position model. The record is from RNAcentral.